CCCACCUGCUGUCGGUUAGCUAGUCGUGAACCUGGAAGCAUGUGUUAACAGAACUAGCUGCAGUUUGCGGGAACCUUUCUUCUCUUCUUCAGUGGCAUUAACUGUUUGUCUGGACUCCGGGAGAGACUACAUUUAUUCAGAUACAUCUGUCCGAAGAAAGCAGGAGUGUGUCCUGAAAGAGUUACCGUAUCUCCCAGAAUGGCCUCAGGAGGUUUUAAACAUAUUGCAAUCACAAGUCUCUCCAUGAGGAACUGGCGGAUCUAAGCAUGGUCCUGCAGUUUGUGUGGUUAGAUCUGCAGAGAGCAGCUAGAGGCCUUGGCACAGGCUAUUAAAUGUGACGACACCACCUUUUAUUACAUGCACAGUCAGAGAGGAAGUGUUAGGACCUGUGCCCAAAGGUUCAACUCCAGCACUCAGCCAACAUGGAAACAAGGUAUGUGUGUGUCAUCUGUCUAAAAACUAGGGCUACUCCCUACGUGUUCACACUAGUCAUUCUUCACCUGGCCAAAGUGACUGAUACCACUCAUACUUGAGCUAUAAUCAGUUAUUAUAUUAUACAUUUGAUUUCUGCUACUUCAUUCAAAAUCAAAAUACAAAAAUUACAUCAGAAAAGCACAGUUGCAUUUCUCGUGGCUCAGAGUAGUGCUCUUAUACCCUGAACAACUCCAAAACGAUGUUUUAGUACUUCUGCAUUGGUCUGUAGCAAUGCAACUUAGAACAUAGUCAUGUUCUGAUGCUAGGCUACUCUAAAACGGCACAACUGUAACAAUGCAACUUAUAAUGGUUAUGUUGUGAUGCUAGGCUACUCUAAAACGGCACAACUGUAACAAU
Molecule: long non-coding RNA, 831 nt
Organism: Betta splendens (Siamese fighting fish)
Lineage: Eukaryota; Metazoa; Chordata; Actinopteri; Anabantiformes; Osphronemidae
Exons: 5
Source: RefSeq, a predicted model, not a curated record